UACGAAGGGGGCUAGCGUUGCUCGGAGUCACUGGGCGUAAAGGGUGCGUAGGCGGGUCUUUAAGUCAGAGGUGAAAUCCUGGAGCUCAACUCCAGAACUGCCUUUGAUACUGAGGAUCUUGAGUUCGGGAGAGGUGAGUGGAACUGCGAGUGUAGAGGUGAAAUUCGUAGAUAUUCGCAAGAACACCAGUGGCGAAGGCGGCUCACUGGCCCGAUACUGACGCUGAGGCACGAAAGCGUGGGGAGCAAACAGG
Molecule: ribosomal RNA, 253 nt
Filed under: uncultured bacterium
Lineage: Bacteria
Description: partial 16S ribosomal RNA
Rfam family: Bacterial small subunit ribosomal RNA
Source: RNAcentral